Molecule: small nuclear RNA, 103 nt
Organism: Apodemus sylvaticus (European woodmouse)
Lineage: Eukaryota; Metazoa; Chordata; Mammalia; Rodentia; Muridae
Source: RefSeq, a predicted model, not a curated record
GUGCUCACUCCGGCAGCACAUACACUAAAAUUGGAAGGACACAGGAUCGGCAUUGCCUCUGUACAAGGAUGACACGCGAAUUCGUAAAGAGUUCCAUAUUUUU